This 633-nucleotide ribosomal RNA is filed under the name uncultured soil bacterium. RNAcentral's name for it is "bacterial SSU rRNA". It matches the Rfam family "Bacterial small subunit ribosomal RNA", at positions 131 to 774 of the family's 1533-position model. The record is from RNAcentral.
CUGGACUUUGGGAUAAGCCUGGGAAACUGGGUCUAAUACCGGAUAUGACCUGUCUCCGCAUGGGGGUGGGUGGAAAGAUUUUUUGGUUCAGGUUGGGCCCGCGGCCUAUCAGCUUGUUGGUGGGGUGAUGGCCUACCAAGGCGACGACGGGUAGCCGGCCUGAGAGGGCGACCGGCCACACUGGGACUGAGACACGGCCCAGACUCCUACGGGAGGCAGCAGUGGGGAAUAUUGCACAAUGGGCGCAAGCCUGAUGCAGCGACGCCGCGUGAGGGAUGACGGCCUUCGGGUUGUAAACCUCUUUCGGUUGGGACGAAGCCUUUCGGGGUGACGGUACCUUCAGAAGAAGCACCGGCUAACUACGUGCCAGCAGCCGCGGUAAUACGUAGGGUGCGAGCGUUGUCCGGAAUUAUUGGGCGUAAAGAGCUCGUAGGCGGUUUGUUGCGUCGGCCGUGAAAACUAGCAGCUUAACUGUUGGCUUGCGGUCGAUACGGGCAGACUUGAGUUCGGUAGGGGAGACUGGAAUUCCUGGUGUAGCGGUGAAAUGCGCAGAUAUCAGGAGGAACACCGGUGGCGAAGGCGGGUCUCUGGGCCGAUACUGACGCUGAGGAGCGAAAGCGUGGGGAGCGAACA